This 459-nucleotide ribosomal RNA is filed under the name uncultured bacterium. RNAcentral describes it as "partial 16S ribosomal RNA". It matches the Rfam family "Bacterial small subunit ribosomal RNA", at positions 339 to 795 of the family's 1533-position model. The record is from RNAcentral.
CUACGGGGGGCACCAGUAAGGAAUAUUGGUCAAUGGACGAAAGUCUGAACCAGCCAUGCCGCGUGAAGGAUGACGGCCCUAUGGGUUGUAAACUUCUUUUAUAUGGGAAGAAACCCCUCUACAUGUAGAGGGCUGACGGUACCAUACGAAUAAGCAUCGGCUAACUCCGUGCCAGCAGCCGCGGUAAUACGGAGGAUGCAAGCGUUAUCCGGAUUUAUUGGGUUUAAAGGGUGCGCAGGCGGAAAGAUGAGUCAGUGGUGAAAUCCUACGGCCUAACUGUAGAACUGCCAUUGAUACUGUCUUUCUUGAGUACAGUUGAAGUGGGCGGAAUGUGUCAUGUAGCGGUGAAAUGCAUAGAUAUGACACAGAACACCGAUAGCGAAGGCAGCUCACUAAACUGAAACUGACGCUCAUGCACGAAAGCGUGGGGAGCAAACAGGAUUAGAUACCCUCGUAGUC